GCGCCCGUCUUUGGGGAGUAGCUUACCUUCCAAACAAGUUUUCAGGUUUGUACAUCAACAUAAUUGGUGCAAAAUCACCAUGGUGUGCAAGACCCAAGUCCUACGGCUGUUCUAGCCAGACUGGCGUUUAGCAAGACCAUAGACAAGUGUCGUGAACCUAGGUGGGGGAGCGAGGCUUGUUUAUGAGUAGCUUGUCCCCCGCCUA
This is a non-coding RNA of Vibrio sp., 205 nucleotides long. The record is from Rfam. Lineage: Bacteria; Pseudomonadati; Pseudomonadota; Gammaproteobacteria; Vibrionales; Vibrionaceae.